GACGAAUAGGACAUUUAUAUCC
RNAcentral lists this microRNA (22 nucleotides) under Callorhinchus milii (elephant shark). RNAcentral describes it as "Cmi-Novel-21_5p (mature (guide))". The record is from RNAcentral. Lineage: Eukaryota; Metazoa; Chordata; Chondrichthyes; Chimaeriformes; Callorhinchidae.